Passer domesticus (house sparrow) is the source of this 7436-nucleotide long non-coding RNA. RefSeq lists it as uncharacterized. The transcript has 2 exons. The record is from RefSeq and is a predicted model, not a curated record. Lineage: Eukaryota; Metazoa; Chordata; Aves; Passeriformes; Passeridae.
CCACCAGACACAGUGUACACUGAGGGGUCACAGCACGCAGAUGCACCAGGAACCCCAGCACCCGGCUGGGUUUGGGCUGAGCUUAGGCUGGGCUGGGCUCAGGCUGGGCUGGGCUCAGGCUGGGCUGGGCAGGUGAAGGCUGCCUCCUCCAUGGGCUGUGAUCAAACAGUGCCAGCAGGAAGGGCACAGUCCUUCACUGACCAGGGUUUCGUGACAUCCAAUUUCGCUGCUUUCAGCCCAGGCUGACCUCACAGCAGCAGGUUGUGGACUGUUCCACUUGCCCUUGAAGCUCUGUUUCCAGACAUUCACCUGCAGGCCACACACCUGAGGCCACCAUGAGUUACUGCAAUUUGUGACUGACCUGUUUAAAACCACAAACGGUCCCUACUGUCACCACAGAGUCCACCAAGCUGAGUGGGACCAAACCUGACAUGAUGUGUCCUGCAAAGCAUUAGGGUUUCUGCAGAUAUUUUCACCUCACUGAGGUGGGGUUUGGCUCAGAGGUUCACAAAAGCCAUAGCUGAUGUUGUCCAGGAGCAGUGAAAGGGGCAAAGCUCCCUUGCCUUUUCCUACUCACACACCAAGGCAUCAGACUUUACCUUUAGUUCAGGCACAGCCAGGUCUGUGUGCACUGAGCCAGCUCCAUCCCUCCUGUCUCUUCCUCCUCCCAGCUCCCCAAAGCCAGGGAGGGGUGCAGGCUCACCACAGGAGCAGAUGACUUUUUCCACAGAAACAGAUGCCUGCUUCAGCCAACACAUUGUCUUUGUGUUGAGCACGAUCCCACGUAUUCUGAUUGUCACUGUUGUUAUUAUUUCCUUAACUGUUUUUCCUUCAGACUUCUGGCUCCAGGAACAAAUCACUUCAGCCCUGCCCACUCCCAGGGCUGUGAGGCUUCAAAAGAUGUCUGAAAGACCUGUCCUUCCUGAUGACACAUGCUCCUUCCUUUGUAUUCUCCGGGGACAAUGUCUGCAGCAUGUCACAGGUAGGGAGGAGCUGCCCAAGAGACCCAUGGCAGGAGGCACAGAGUUCUGGCAGCCCGCUCAGGGACAGCUUGGGAUGGGGCAGGAGGGGAAGAAGUGAUGUUCCUGGCUAGCACCAAAACAGAGGUGGCUUCACUUCUUUGCCAAAGGGGAAAGCUUCUCUUGAAUUCAAGCACAAGACAGGCUGAGCAGGUGCCUGUGCUUGAGAUUUUUAUGGAUCACUGCAGGCUAAGAGGUUCACAAAACAGCUUGCUGCUUCCUUCAGCAGUGGAAGUGAGGCAGUCACAGUUACCCAUCCAUGGAGACAUCAGCACGGAUCCCCAGCUCCUUCCCUGGGACAUGCACAGGAUACCCCAGGUCCAGCUGAUGCAGGUGGCCACGCUUCAGCCAUCGCCAGGGCUGGCAAAGAGAUGCACAGUCCUUUUCAGCAGCUCCAAACAGACACCAGCUCUGUACAGUGAAGAUCCCAGGGACUUUCUGGCUCUCCAGAGACAUCACUGGUUGACCAUUGGGCUGAAUAUUUAUGUUCUCCAGGAAGGACAGCAGUAACCACAGGGCUGUGGUAUUGUGCUUCCUCCUAGUUCUUUGCUGAGUCUUAUGACUAUAAAAUAAACCUGAAGGUCCUUCUUGCAUACUGUGAAUCCCUUCUCCAGGAGAGAAAAUUUCAGGAAGGUUCUCACAGCACUGUGAAAAUGUAUCAUCUCACUUUGCUGAGAAGAAAAUUUGGGACCUUCUCAAACUACUCCACUUACAUCUACCAACAGAGUGCUUUUGUUGUCCUACACGGCGGCCAGACAAAGAUCUAACUUGAGCCCUGGGAAAGUCUGACUCCUACUCUUCCUGCCUUGUGACAGACACUUGUACAAGCUGCACCACUCCCUCUGUGUGAGAGAGGACCUUCCCUUCCUCUUUCACACAGGCACCAGUCUUGGCCAUGUGGAAGGGCAGCAGAAAAGCAUCCAGCCAGCCAAAGAAGAAGUUGGUUUAGCAAACAGACAAGAAACCAGGGCUCAGAAGUGUCCUGGCCCCAACCCAAUGUAUAUUCAGACCAGAACAGAGAAAUGAAACCUGAAACAGGAAGAGGCUUUUUGCUAUCAUCAAAUUUCGUCCUUCACCCUCCAGCCCACCCCUGUCUGGGGCAGCUACUACCCCUGCCAGCCAGAGCUCUGGGACACAAGGUCACACAGCAGCAGACCAGGGCUCUCUUCUGUGGAAAACCACACCAAGAGAGGGAUGUGCCAGUGGGGCUCUUGUUUCUUGUGGUGCUCCCAGGGCUGCCAGGCUGGACCCUCGCUGCAGGGGGUGACCACUGUGACCACACACUGGUAGUGGGUCCCUGUCACAGGCACUGGGAGGAGGAACAAGUGACUGUCCCAAAAACUGACCCAGUCCUCCAGCAAUGCCUGGGAGAAGCGUGCCAAGGGAAGGAGCUGCUGCUACUCCCUUUUCAAAUCCAUAGAUCUAUUCCACCUGCUUGAAAAUAGAAGCCAAGAUGAGAUCACCCCAGCCUUUCCUCCUCUAGAUUUGCCUCCAUUUCUGCUCAGGACAUGGCCUAUUUAGGGACCCCUAUCACCCACAAAGACAGAUUUUAGUACCUUUCCCUAAAUCUCAGCACACUCUAGGAUUUUCCACACGGCAGCUGGUGAGUGGGAUUGCUGGCAGCCCUUUUUGUCUCCGGUGGCAUCAAGGCUGAGCAGGGCUGUGUUCUAGCUCCUACUGGGUUUAACACCUCAUUUCCUUUGCUGUCUGCCCCAGAAUCAUGAGGAAAGGAGGCUCUGUGCCCCUCAGGCUCAACAGCAAGUUGUACAGCACCGCACAAGCACCAGCAGCUGUGGGCUGAAGAACUGGUCUGGGAGCCCAGGUUUGCUGGUGGCUGCAGACUCUUUGCACGUACACUGAUUUCUAAACGAGCACAAGCAGCUCAUUGGGUCCUCCCAAGCUGCACAAAUUUGGUCUAUGAGCUAAAUAAGCUGCUCAUAGAGUCACAGAAUGGUUUGGGUUGGACCUUAAAGACCACCUGGUUCCACCUCCCCUGCCAUGGGCAGAGACAUCCCCCAUUAGACCAGGCUGCUCAAAGCCUUGUCCAAGCUGGCCUUGAACUGUUGCAGAGACAGGGCAUUCACAACUGGAGAUGGCAACCUUUUCCAUGGACAACCUUUUUUUAUGCCUCUUGCACCAGAAGCCAGGCUGGAGGGUGCUCUGCAGCCAGAUUCAUUACAGCCUUGACUUCAAUUGAGCUAAGCCAUCCUGGAGGUCUGGAUUCACUUCAGCAAGUGAACACUGAGGAGAUCCUGUUGCUCUUGCCAUGCUCUACACCACAGACCAGCACGGAAUGCUUCAGGGACCCCAGAGCACUUGUACUCUUUCUGCAGCCAGAAAAGCACUCACAGAUCUGGUCUGUAGAGACUCAUGGAGCUUUGACAUCACAGGAGACCUUAAAAAGGGACUGUCCCUUGAAGCAAGACUUAGCUCAGAAGGGUUCAGCCAAGGCUUGUCUCUGGAGAUAAGGAGUAAGCAACAAGUUUUGAAAGCCAAGGAUAAAGAGGUUCAUCAAGGGGUCAGUUAGAUAAAACUACUAAAAUAUAUUUGACCUAACAAAGUUACUCUGGUGGCUGCUCCCAGAUCAGUGAUGAGGAACAGGACUUCCCAACAGCGGAACUCUGCUUUUGCUGCUCCCACUGCAGCCACACACAGUGGGGUGAACUCUGUGCACGCCUCUCACCACAACCAACACUCCAGGAAUUGCCUUGGGAGGCUCAGAAAAGGGCUCAGCUGCAGCCCGUGGCUCUGGGACUGCAGGAAGGAGGGGAUGAGACACAGGACUCCUUCACAGAACAAGCACCAAGGAGCCUGAAGUAAACAGCUUCUCCAUUCCCACUUGCCAAAUCCAAACACCCCGGUGAUAAAUAUUAGUACCAGUCACUAUUAAUCCCACAACAGCAAAACUUGGAUUACAAUACAAGCGAAAGCUGGAGCAAAAUAUGCAAUUUGAAAAAAGCUUCUGAGCAAAUAUGGAAGUUUCACUUCUUGCCUACUUGAAGCACAUGUGACAUGAUUUGUUUGAAGAACAAAAUAGACUGCAGGCAUGGAAAAUGCCAGGCAUAAAGCUUUAGAGUUACUAAUACUGUGGAAUAUAAAUGGCAAGCGAUCCCAGAUUAUUUUAGAAAAGGCUGGCUGCAAUUUACAGCCUUGAUUAGGCUGAUUACUAAAGGAUGAACAGCAAAAUAACUUCAGUAAUUAAAUUUCCGAAGAGGAAACCAAAGGUUCUCACUCGUAAAAUGAGCUGUAAAUGAAUUUAAAUAUUCAGUAUGACUUUUGCCCUUCUCAGCAGAAGAGCAUGCUGCCUGACAUGGUCAUUUCCUAGGAAAGGAGACUGAGCAAGGCUUAACAAAGAAAUGAAAAAGGGCUUUGUAGCCCUAUAGGUUUUCCAUGGGAAAGGUAAAGCCCAUUGGAACUACACUUCAGCUCAGAAAGCAAUAUAACUUAAUGGAAAAAUAAACGUAGCACUAGGGUGUAUUUCAAGUCGAAAAAUAGAGUUUCCAUCAAUAUCUUGUGGUCAGUUUUCCUCUGCAAUUAAGUGAAAGUUGUCCGAGCAGAUGGUAACACCGAUAACCGAUGCGAAAUCGCAGGGAGGGAGAGAUCCAUGGAGUUCUUUUCUAAAAAAAUUUCCGGAGAACCCCAACCAGAGCUGUUUCUGCGUUUGGGAGACAUCCUGUGGCCGCCGCAGACACUGCACCGUCCCUCUGCAGCUUGUCUUGCCGUGCAGAAGGGACCGACCAUCCAUCCAUCCAUCCAUCCAUCCAUCCAUCCAUCCAUCCAUCCAUCCAUCCAUCCAUCCAUCCAUCGAUGCAUCCAUCCCUGACAUUUCAGCAGGCACCCCCCCACCAGCCCCUGCUCCUUUGGGCACCACAGACACAGGACCAUUGUGACAAUGCCUCCAAGCUCCUACCAGUGUGUUUUUCCCAUCCAUGUGGAAACACGUGUGGAAACACUUCAUUUCAUGCCUUUUGACUGUGUGAGCCAGCAGAGGAAAUUAUUCCAUGCUCAGAGAUUUUGCUGUUUGCGGUGCUCGCGCUGAGGUCUUGGUAAGAGGCACCUCCAAGCAAACAGGAUUUUACCUUGAGACAGGCAAAUGAUUGAAAACCAUGUGAUUGAAAUGCCAGUAGAAUUUCACUUUCUGAUUUUGCAUCCCCAUAUGUUUUAACAGAAUUAUUUUCGUGGUGAGCUAUUUUGUUAUCUGAUUUUAUUCACCUAAUACAUUCAAUGUGAUCAGCAACUACAAGGAAACAUGAACUAUACAAAUAUUUUAGUUUUAUGCCCUGAUUUUUUUAAAAGGAUGUUAAAUGAUAACAUAAGGGUAUAAAUGGAAUGAAAACUGCAACAUAGCUAUGCCUUGAAACUCCAUGCUGUGGUUCCCACAGCAACCAUAACCAUGGCCACGUCUUAUGGAUUUUACAUCCGAGUCUGACGCUGUUCCAAGUGCUCAACACACGUAAGCAAAAACCAAGCAAAAGUUUUUUCUCCCCCUGCCAUAAACACCUUACCUGCUAAGUCACCACCACUACAAGGUGUUCAUGCCACUCCUAGGUGAAAGUGAGCUCCCAACAGCUGACAAUCAAUGCCCUGAAUGUGGCUUCCAUGCAGAGAUACUGGCAGGGUUCAUAGUGUUGGUAUUGACACCCUUCUGUUUUCUGUUAGUGCUGGAACAACAGCCUGCUGUUUGUACCAAAGGUUAAAGCAUUCUUAGAAGGCUAAAAGAGAACAGUUAAGGGUCUUUCAAAUUCCUUUGUUUUGAAUACCAAACUGUUUCAACUUCAGAAGCACUGAGUGGUCAAGAGACUGCUCCUCCAUGGUUUUGCUCAUUUUAUCCAGCCCCUUUGCUUGUAGGCAGUAUCUGGUAGUGCACUUCAAAGAGACUGGCAGAAACAGGAACGUGAAACCAUCAAGUUAUCCAAGUUUACUGGUUUGCCUUUUUCUUAAAGGCAAAAAUUUUUAGAAUUUUAAAAAGUAAACCUUUUCUUGCUCUUCAGUUUGCCAGAAGUAAGGAGCACACACAGAGACAGCAUUUCCAAUAUCAGCAUUGUUCUUGGUUUUCUUUAAGCAUUUACUGCUGUUGCAAUUCAGGACUCUGAUUGGUCUUGGGUAUGAAAAAGUUGAACUUCUAACAAAUUAUUAAUUUCUCUAGGUUGAGCUUUAUUUAAAGCUCAUGUCCCUUCCUGCUGGAUAACAGUUUAUUCUCUGAAGUGACAGAAUAAUUGUCAGUGGUGAAAUCAGUGGAAUAAUUCACUGCUACUGGAGGGGAAAAACUCCAGUCAAAGGUGAAAUUUUCAAAACUCCACUUCAUCAGAAUGUCAAAUCAGGGGUUUAACUGGCAGCACCAGUGACUGUAAUAACAUGAACCUGUUUUUACUAGAAAGCUCCAGGACUUUUCUAUGAAAACUUAGAGGAAUGAGAUAGUAUGGACAGUUACAAGCCUACAUAUUUAAAAUUAAAUGUUAAUCCACAGUGGUACCAGCUUUCCAAAAUGGUAUUUAUUCCUAAACAUCUGCAGUGUAAAUCAGAAACCAAAAUGUUACAUUAGUAUGACCCCCCACCCCCAACCCAGAUGGCAGAAAUACCAUCAACUAUUGAAAUUCUCUAAAUAUUUAACACUUUAGGUUACUAAGAAAAGAUGUGGUCUUGGAUAGCACAGCAAGAAACACCCAACCAGCCCCUCCCUGAAAUACAGACACUGGCUCAAGGGGCUCUGCCCUCACCCAGGGGUACCUGAGCCCUCUGGGGACAGUGACCACUGUGAGUGAGCAGGUUCCAGCCCAGGGGGCCGGGCACAUGCUGCUGCUCCAGGGCUGCACAGGGAGAAAGCUCUCUGGGCUGGCUGCAGGCCUAAUUAAAUUGCAAACCACAACACGGGCUGUGACACAGCAGCUGUGGGAAAUACUGAUUAAAAGCAUCUACACAUUAUCCCAAUGGGCCCAUGUAUAGCUGAGCUUUUAACUGAAUUGGAUACAGCUCUUAUUUAAAUUCCAGAUAUGCCACAGUCUUUCCAUAUGACUGGGAGGACUACUGAACCCUGCACUUCACUUCUGCAAAAUAAACGUGUGGAUAUUAAUUCCAUAUUUUCAUAAAUAAUCUCAUUUAUCUUGUCUCAAAUUUCUGUAAUUAAAAAAAAAAUAGGAUACAGUAUCUUGCUAUAUUUGAUUUUGAAGCCUCAGUGUAAUGUAAGAGAAAAAGCUAAACCUUGCCCAAAUCUGUACUAUGCAUCUUUAAAUCCCCAAAGACUGGACCAGAUGCUGUAGCUUGAACAGAAGUAGUGUGCAAAACACUUAGCCCAGCAGGACUAGCUGUUCCUCCAGCCUACCUCUCUCUACUUCUCAAUAUGGUCAAGGGCCUCAGGUCCUGUAAAGAGGUCAAAUAAAGUGAAGUGUUUCAGAAAUCCUAAGUACAGGGAAGGUUUGC